AUGCAGCGCGGGGAGCUCCAUCAACGUGGCUGCGGUUCCGCCGUUCCCGAACGCCGUCGUCCACAUGGUGUGCGGCGGCAGGGUGGUGGCCGGCACAAGGCGGACGAGAGAGGAGCAUUCACCAUGAACAUGGGCACGGUCACGUCGUCGCUGCUCGCCCCUCUGCUCGGCAACCAGUGCAAAGUGGUGGUGGUCACCCCGCUAGCCGCGUGCAACGCGUCCCUGGCCAGCGUCACCGGGACGCUGGCCGCACCGGUGCAGCUCCUGGGUGCUGACAGCGGCAGCGGCGGGGGCGGCCUCGGAGGACUUGGCGGCCUAAUUGGCCUCAUCGGUCAGAUAGUGGGUGGCCUCCUCGGCGGCAUCCUUAACAUCAUCCCCUUGCCCUUCUCCGUCGUCUAG
RNAcentral lists this ribosomal RNA (399 nucleotides) under Triticum aestivum (bread wheat). RNAcentral describes it as "partial small subunit ribosomal RNA". Lineage: Eukaryota; Viridiplantae; Streptophyta; Magnoliopsida; Poales; Poaceae. The record is from RNAcentral.